RNAcentral lists this ribosomal RNA (483 nucleotides) under uncultured bacterium. Its description in RNAcentral is "partial 16S ribosomal RNA". It matches the Rfam family "Bacterial small subunit ribosomal RNA", at positions 30 to 506 of the family's 1533-position model. The record is from RNAcentral.
AUUGAACGCUGGCGGAAUGCUUUACACAUGCAAGUCGAGCGGCAGCGCGGCCUUCGGGCUGGCGGCGAGCGGCGAACGGGUGAGUAAUGCAUCGGAACAUGCCCAGUCGUGGGGGAUAACACUUCGAAAGGAGUGCUAAUACCGCAUACGUCCUGAGGGGGAAAGCGGGGGAUCGCAAGACCUCGCGCGAUUGGAGUGGCCGAUGUCAGAUUAGCUAGUUGGUGGGGUAAAGGCCUACCAAGGCGACGAUCUGUAGCUGGUCUGAGAGGAUGAUCAGCCACACUGGGACUGAGACACGGCCCAGACUCCUACGGGAGGCAGCAGUGGGGAAUUUUGGACAAUGGGGGCAACCCUGAUCCAGCCAUUCCGCGUGAGUGAAGAAGGCCUUCGGGUUGUAAAGCUCUUUCGGCAGGAACGAAACGGUGGGCUCUAACAUAGUCCGCUAAUGACGGUACCUGAAGAAGAAGCACCGGCUAACUACGU